UCAUGUGUCACAAUCUUGUUAAUUACCAACUUUGAAGAACCAAGCUUUAUAUAAUAAGAUGUUAUACUAAAUGAUAUAUAUGAUAUUAUAUAAAUAGUUUAAUUAAACAAAGCAUUAUUAUUUAUUUUAGUUUUUAGUAGUAUACAUUUGUUUUUGUCAUCUCUUUUUAACUUCUUGUAGCUGAUAUUUACUAUAAUGUUAUGUUUUUUUUGACAACAACAAAUUAUUAACUAAGAGACCACCGGGUUGGAAAGCCAAGCCGGAGGUGAUGAAUCAACAUAUAACAUAGCUGAAAGAGAACUCUUCGUACCACGUGCAAGCUUGUCUGCCAUUGUAUUUUGUGCCCUUGGAAUAUGUCGAAUCUUGAAAUUAGGAAAGAAAGUCUUACUGCCGCAAAACUCAUCCAUGUGUAUAGCAAAAGCUGGUCAUUCUUCAGGUGACGACACCUUCUUCACCAGUUGAGAAUAAUCCGUCGCAAAUACUACUUCUGUGAACUGCAGGGUCUUCAUGCACUUCAUCGCCCAAAUCAAAGCUUCACUUUUUGCAUGUAAAGGUGACAGGCUUCGUCUUAGGUUCAUUGCCCCCAUCAUAACAUCAUCUGAGUCCCUUGCAUGACAGUACCAACCCUGUCCAGUGAUACUAUAAUGAUAUGUAAACAAGAAAGUUAUAACAAUUAACUCAAAUUAUUAAUUCUUAGUAUACCAUGUUCAUUUUUGAUUGAUCUUCAUCAGAAUUGUUACAUCCUUUAUGUAAGUUUUUUAUUAUAUUGUUUGUGUAAAUUUUUUAUAUUUUAAAAAAAAAACAGAAAGAAAUUCAAACGAAUUAUAAAGUCAGUGAAUGAUUUAUUCUUUAAUAAUGUUUUUCAUGAAUAAUGUUUUAAUAUUAUGUAUUUUAUAUUUUUUUAAAAAUAAAUCAAGUUAUAGUAAUAUCUUCUUUUUUUGUUCACUAGUUAUAGUAAAACUUGGUAAGGGUCAUUUGAGGUCAUUUCUCUAUAAUCAAUGAUAACAGAGUUAUAGUAAUAUAUAUUAUCAUUUAUGGUAGAGAAAUGUGCUCAAAUGACCCUAAACAAGUUUUUCUUCUCAAUUUAGCACUCAAAGCUCAAAAUGACCAAACUAGGUUUCAUUUAAUAGGAUCAUUUACCCUUAUAUCCCUUUCCUUCUCUAAUUAUAUUAAAUAAAAAAUAAUUAAAAUUUUAACCCAUAAUCACGACAUCGUCUCUCAUCUCCGACAUCAUCAUCUCCGAUAUGACUCAUCUCCACCACCAUUAUCUCCAGCACUACUCAUCUCCACCGCCAUUAUCUCCGCCAUCAUCAUCUACGCCAUCAUCAUCUACUUUUGUCUCCCUCAGCUCCAAUCGCUGCUCCGCUG
Molecule: long non-coding RNA, 1368 nt
Filed under: Brassica napus (rape)
Lineage: Eukaryota; Viridiplantae; Streptophyta; Magnoliopsida; Brassicales; Brassicaceae
Description: long non-coding RNA (BNAP_LNC014433)
Source: RNAcentral